UACGUAGGGCGCGAGCGUUGCCCGGAAUUAUUGGGCGUAAAGAGCUCGUAGGCGGCUUGUCACGUCGGGUGUGAAAGACCGGGGCUUAACUCCGGUUCUGCAUUCGAUACGGGCUAGCUAGAGUGUGGUAGGGGAGAUCGGAAUUCCUGGUGUAGCGGUGAAAUGCGCAGAUAUCAGGAGGAACACCGGUGGCGAAGGCGGAUCUCUGGGCCAUUACUGACGCUGAGGAGCGAAAGCGUGGGGAGCGAACAGG
RNAcentral lists this ribosomal RNA (253 nucleotides) under uncultured bacterium. Its description in RNAcentral is "partial 16S ribosomal RNA". It matches the Rfam family "Bacterial small subunit ribosomal RNA", at positions 524 to 776 of the family's 1533-position model. The record is from RNAcentral.